Molecule: ribosomal RNA, 552 nt
Filed under: Nocardia sp.
Lineage: Bacteria; Bacillati; Actinomycetota; Actinomycetes; Mycobacteriales; Nocardiaceae
Description: bacterial SSU rRNA
Rfam family: Bacterial small subunit ribosomal RNA
Source: RNAcentral
UGUUGGUGGGGUAAUGGCCUACCAAGGCGACGACGGGUAGCCGGCCUGAGAGGGCGACCGGCCACACUGGGACUGAGACACGGCCCAGACUCCUACGGGAGGCAGCAGUGGGGAAUAUUGCACAAUGGGCGGAAGCCUGAUGCAGCGACGCCGCGUGAGGGAUGACGGCCUUCGGGUUGUAAACCUCUUUCGACUCCGACGAAGCGAAAGUGACGGUAGGAGUAUAAGAAGCACCGGCCAACUACGUGCCAGCAGCCGCGGUAAUACGUAGGGUGCGAGCGUUGUCCGGAAUUACUGGGCGUAAAGAGCUUGUAGGCGGUCUGUCGCGUCUUCUGUGAAAACUUGGGGCUCAACCUUAAGCUUGCAGGCGAUACGGGCAGACUAGAGUACUUCAGGGGAGACUGGAAUUCCUGGUGUAGCGGUGAAAUGCGCAGAUAUCAGGAGGAACACCGGUGGCGAAGGCGGGUCUCUGGGAAGUAACUGACGCUGAGAAGCGAAAGCAUGGGUAGCGAACAGGAUUAGAUACCCUGGUAGUCCAUGCCGUAAACGGUG